CUUUUACAAUGAAGAGUUUGAUCCUGGCUCAGGAUGAACGCUAGCUACAGGCUUAACACAUGCAAGUCGAGGGGCAGCAUUUCAGUUUGCUUGCAAACUGGAGAUGGCGACCGGCGCACGGGUGAGUAACACGUAUCCAACCUGCCGAUAACUCGGGGAUAGCCUUUCGAAAGAAAGAUUAAUACCCGAUGGCAUAAUUAGACCGCAUGGUCUUAUUAUUAAAGAAUUUCGGUUAUCGAUGGGGAUGCGUUCCAUUAGGCAGUUGGUGAGGUAGCGGCUCACCAAACCUUCGAUGGAUAGGGGUUCUGAGAGGAAGGUCCCCCACAUUGGAACUGAGACACGGUCCAAACUCCUACGGGAGGCAGCAGUGAGGAAUAUUGGUCAAUGGGCGCAGGCCUGAACCAGCCAAGUAGCGUGAAGGAUGACUGCCCUAUGGGUUGUAAACUUCUUUUAUAUGGGAAUAAAGUUUUCCACGUGUGGAAUUUUGUAUGUACCAUAUGAAUAAGGAUCGGCUAACUCCGUGCCAGCAGCCGCGGUAAUACGGAGGAUCCGAGCGUUAUCCGGAUUUAUUGGGUUUAAAGGGAGCGUAGGUGGACAGUUAAGUCAGUUGUGAAAGUUUGCGGCUCAACCGUAAAAUUGCAGUUGAUACUGGCUGUCUUGAGUACAGUAGAGGUGGGCGGAAUUCGUGGUGUAGCGGUGAAAUGCUUAGAUAUCACGAAGAACUCCGAUUGCGAAGGCAGCUCACUGGACUGCAACUGACACUGAUGCUCGAAAGUGUGGGUAUCAAACAGGAUUAGAUACCCUGGUAGUCCACACAGUAAACGAUGAAUACUCGCUGUUUGCGAUAUACAGUAAGCGGCCAAGCGAAAGCAUUAAGUAUUCCACCUGGGGAGUACGCCGGCAACGGUGAAACUCAAAGGAAUUGACGGGGGCCCGCACAAGCGGAGGAACAUGUGGUUUAAUUCGAUGAUACGCGAGGAACCUUACCCGGGCUUAAAUUGCAUUUGAAUAAUCUGGAAACAGGUUAGCCGCAAGGCAAAUGUGAAGGUGCUGCAUGGUUGUCGUCAGCUCGUGCCGUGAGGUGUCGGCUUAAGUGCCAUAACGAGCGCAACCCUUAUCUUUAGUUACUAACAGGUCAUGCUGAGGACUCUAGAGAGACUGCCGUCGUAAGAUGUGAGGAAGGUGGGGAUGACGUCAAAUCAGCACGGCCCUUACGUCCGGGGCUACACACGUGUUACAAUGGGGGGUACAGAAGGCAGCUACCUGGUGACAGGAUGCUAAUCCCAAAAGCCUCUCUCAGUUCGGAUCGAAGUCUGCAACCCGACUUCGUGAAGCUGGAUUCGCUAGUAAUCGCGCAUCAGCCAUGGCGCGGUGAAUACGUUCCCGGGCCUUGUACACACCGCCCGUCAAGCCAUGAAAGCCGGGGGUACCUGAAGUACGUAACCGCAAGGAGCGUCCUAGGGUAAAACUGGUAAUUGGGGCUAAGUCGUAACAAGGUAGCCGUACCGGAAGGUGCGGCUGGAACACCUCCUUU
RNAcentral lists this ribosomal RNA (1534 nucleotides) under Bacteroides thetaiotaomicron. RNAcentral describes it as "bacterial SSU rRNA". It matches the Rfam family "Bacterial small subunit ribosomal RNA". The record is from RNAcentral. Lineage: Bacteria; Pseudomonadati; Bacteroidota; Bacteroidia; Bacteroidales; Bacteroidaceae.